Molecule: RNA transcript, 3317 nt
Organism: Diospyros lotus (date-plum)
Lineage: Eukaryota; Viridiplantae; Streptophyta; Magnoliopsida; Ericales; Ebenaceae
Exons: 18
Source: RefSeq, a predicted model, not a curated record
UCUAUUAUUCUCCACAGAGAGAGAGAGAGAGAGAGAGAGAGAGGGAAAAUCAGUUGCAGAAAAUGGAGGAGUAGCCAUUCGAUCCUCCGAAUCGAUCGAGCAGACGCUGAUCGAUCCAAAAUCGCAUCAAGCUCGUCGAUCGAAGAUGACGCUCAAGAGUACCAAUUUCGUCCCUUUUUUUGAGCCCAAGAGGGAUGCCUAUGGCUUUGCUGUGAGACCUCAACACCUUCAAAGAUAUAAAGAGUAUACUACUAUCUACAAGGAAGAGGAAGAAGAAAGAUCAGACAAGUGGAAAACGUUUCUUGACCAACAAGCACAGUCUACUGAACCAUGUUCACCUGAGAAAAGUAAAAGCAAACUGCAUGCUGAAGCUACUGUACAAAAAGCAAAGCCUGGUCCAGAGUUGAGUGGGGAAGGGGACGGUUCAAGUGGAAGGAAGUCUUUUUUUGAUAGUCAAACAGAAAGGGAUACUGAGGAGGUAAAUGUGGAAAUACAAACAAAAACUGACAAGCUGCAAACAUGGGCUCAGAUUAGAUCAUCCCUUCAUGCUAUUGAGAAAAUGAUGAGCUUUCGUGUUAAGAUGAGAAAGAACUCAAAAAAGGAGCAGAUGGCCUCUGCAGAAAACAAUCCUUCUUCAAUUGAAGGGGCUACAACUUCAAGUCUGGAAUCUGAAGGGGUAUUGGAGGAAGAGUUCUGUGAUAAUGAAAUAGUAUAUGGUACUACAAAUGGUCCAGCAGAAGAAUCUGCUGCUAGUGGUGAUGUUUCUCAGGAACCUUUCUUCCCUUGGAAACAAGAACUAGAGUCCCUUGUUCAUGGGGGAGUACCAAGGGAUCUCAGAGGAGAGGUAUGGCAAGCCUUUGUUGGGGUGAGAACACGACGGGUAGAGAGAUAUUACCAAAAUUUGUUAGCUCGAGAAAAUGAUGAUGCCAAUGACGCUCAGCAGCAUGACAAAUCAGGCAAUGGUAGCAAGGGGACCAACACAAACAAAGUUGGUGCACCUGAAAAAUGGAGAAGGCAAAUUGAGAAGGAUCUGCAUCGAACAUUCCCAGGUCAUCCUGCACUGGAUGAAAAUGGUAGGAGUUCCUUGAGGCGCAUACUUCUAGCAUAUGCUUGGCAUAACCCUUCCGUAGGGUAUUGUCAGGCAAUGAACUUCUUUGCUGGUUUACUAUUGCUGAUGAUGCCCGAAGAAAAUGCUUUUUGUUUGAUGUAUUCUUUCAGGGCUUUGGUUGGUAUAAUUGAUGACUAUUUUGAUGGCUACUAUUCAGAGGAAAUGAUAGAAUCUCAGGUGGACCAACUGGUUUUUGAGGAAUUGAUGCGUCAAAGAUUACCAAAACUAGUCAAUCAUCUGGAUUACUUGGGAGUUCAGGUUGCAUGGAUUUCUGGACCUUGGUUCCUUUCCAUCUUUGUGAACAUGCUCCCGUGGGAAAGUGUUCUUCGAAUUUGGGAUGUUCUUCUAUAUGAAGGAAAUCGUGUUAUGCUUUUCCGAACUGCGCUUGCUCUAAUGGAGUUAUAUGGUCCUGCUUUAGUUACAACUAAGGAUGCUGGAGAUGCAAUUACUUUAUUGCAGUCGCUAGCUGGUUCAACAUUUGAUAGCAGCCAGCUUGUCUUGACUGCUUGCAUGGGUUUCCUGGCAGUUACUGAAGAUAGAUUGGAAGAGUUGAGAGUAAAAUAUCGUCCGUCUAUACUAAAAGCAAUUGAGGAGAGAUCAAGGGGACAAGUUUCAGAGGAUUCCAAGGGCAUUGCUACGAAGCUAUAUAGUUUCAAGCAUGAUCGCAAAACACCAAAGAAAACAAAGGCAGAAGUGGAGUCAGGUGGUAAACAAAUAGAUAGGAAAAAUACUCCCCUGGAGACUCAGUCUGCUAAUAUGGAUGACUUUCUCAGCGGCCUAGCCAUUGAAUUAGAUUCUUUACCAGAUAUUCAAGACCAGGUGGUUUGGUUGAAGGUUGAAUUUUGCAGGCUGCUAGAGGAGAAGAGAUCUGCUGUGCUAAGAGCUGAAGAACUGGAGACAGCAUUGAUGGAAAUGGUCAAGCAAGAUAAUAGAAGGCAGUUGAGUGCAAGGGUGGAACUGUUGGAGCAAGAGAUUGCUGAGCUGCAGGAAGCCCUUGCCGACAAGAAAGAACAGGAAAAUGCGAUGCUUCAGGUGCUGUUGAGGGUUGAGCAAGAACAGAAGGUGACUGAAGAUGCUCGCAUCUUUGCUGAGCAAGAUGCAGCUGCUCAGAAAUAUGCAGUGAAAAUGCUUCAGAAAAUAAUUAGCAAGCUAGGAAUGGAAGCUAUCCAUUCACUAGCUUGAGGGGGAGUGUCAAGAGAUAAGAAUCUUAUCCUAUCCUAUUCAGUCUUCCCAUCUUAUAUUUGAGAAAAAUAUGAAAGGGCUGUAGCUUCACUUGCUCAAAUGGAGAAGAGGGCAGUUAUGGCCGAAACGAUGCUGGAGGCCACUGUGCAAUACGAACACGGUCAAGUUAAAGCACUAGCUUCCCCACGUUGCUUAUUUAACAAAGGAGUCUGAAUUAACUUUUGUCACGAUCCAAGGGUAAUUAGAAGGGCAAUAAUGUCAUUAGUUACCUUAGUUUGUUAGGAGUUAUUUCUGUUAUUCUGUUACAGCACAUGGGGCUGUUAUUCUUAAUGUUUCUUUCAGUUAUAUAGCCUAUAAAUAGGCUUAAGUAUGUAGAGAAGAGUGUGCUUGAAUUGAUAAACAAAGAUCUUAAUUCUCUCUCUACAAAUUUCUCUCCAAUCUCCCUCUCGUUUCUCUCUUGUUUCUCCCCGCUUUCUCUCAAUAUCUCUCCCUCAAUUCUAUAUGUUAUCUUCCCCCAUUUCUGUCCAAAUUCCCCUCUAAACAUUAUGUUCUUAAUCCUAAGCCUCUCGGAUCCUUCCGAAUUCUAAUCUAAUCCUAGCUAAACCCUAGGUUCAUGACAACUUUAAAUGAAAAUUGAAGACAAAACACCAUAAAUGUGCUAGGCCUCCGAAUUGUUUUAAGAGAAAUAUAUUGGUAAAAUAUAUACGUAUCACAACAAACCUAGUGUCUGGAUUGACAAUGAAAUAACAACUCAACAACAAUUUCUCCUUCAUCCAGAUUAUUCUUGAAGGUUACUUUUGCUUUGAUGACAUCCUCUCUUUCCUAUAAUUCUGAUCUUCCAUCUUUGAUUCCAUGCAUAGAUGAGAAGAAUACAGGGGAAUAGUUCCAUUGAUCAAUCACUCUUACAUAUGGAAAUGGUUGAAACCAAAAAAUUAGAAAAUAUAUUAACACAAAUAGUACAAAUCAUACCAAUUACAAUCCUAAAUUAAGCUCUUAUAAUCCACAAAUUGAGACUCCCAUCCACAUC